GGCGCUGCGGCCGCGGAGCCGCCGCGGGAAGGGGCGUGCGCGGCGCGGCGGCUGCAGCCGGGAGGGACGGGGGUCCGGCGGCGGCUCCGGGCUGCCGGCUCCGUCCGUCCCUGUGUGUUUGGAGCGGAGGAAAGAUGGCAGCGGCUGCACUUCCUCUUGCACUUUCACCCCUGGGGGGAGGAGAAGGAGGGGGCGAUACCACCCCCCCUACAAAAAUCCAGCGGGGGCCCCCCGGCUGCUGCUCCCCGACCAAGCGCCGCCGCCGCCGGCCCCGGUCCGGGCCCCGCCCGCUUCGACGCACCCUCACCACCGGCGCCGCAAACUUUCCUCUCUUCUUUGGACGAGAAGACCCCCACCCUAUUCGCGGAGACCCCCCUCCAGCCACUCGGGCUCCCCCCCUGCCCCCCCGCUUCCUGCCCCCCUCCCUCCCCGCAUCCGCCAAUGCAAGAGCAGCCAGAGCCAGCAGGCCGGCCCCCACCCCGCCCGCCCGCGGGGGCUGGGGGCUGCAGUCUCCCCCUUCCCCAGCACCGAUCCUCCAAUGCCGAGCCGGCAGUGAGGCCCCCCCCCUGCGGCUCACGGGGGUGGUGGGGCUGCGCUCGCCCCCUCCCCCAAAUAUCCGGGCUGCAGCUCGCCCCCGAGACCCCCCCUCCCGCUGGAGAGAGGAGGAGGGGCCGGCGGGGGGGGCUGCAGGCAACCUUCCCCCCUCCCCAGGCGCGAAUCGUCCAAUGCAAACCCUCCCGGAGCUGCAGAGGCGCAGAGCGGCCCCCACCUCCUCGGCUCGCCUGAGGAGAGCCGAUCCCAGAGGGGCCAGGGGCUGCAGCGCAGACCGGCCUCCCCCCGGUCUUUCAUUGCAUUUCUCACCCCCACCCCCCGUACGCGAUCAACUCUCAGCCUCGCUAGAAGAGCGCGGCGCCGGCAUUGUGGGGGAGGGAAGGGGUACAGCGGGAAUUCUUCCAGUGCCAAAAUGCCCUCCCCCUGGGAGCGGCUGGGAGGAACGGUACCCGCGGGCCGGGGGCUGCGGGAGGCACGGGCACCUCAGAGCCUCGGGUGCGUCCAUGUUGGGGAAGCUGCUGCCCGCGGAGCCCCUCCCGCGCACCCGGGGUUCCCACGGCGCCCGGAGCGCCCCACGCCCCAGCGCGGCGAGGCUCCCGCUCCCUCAAGUUACCCUUCCCCGGGCCCAGGUUAAACGCUCCGAAAUGCACCGCCGAAUUCACUGCGCGGGGCUGCCUGGACUGUCCUAGUGCUGAAUCUUCCCUGUGUGCUCGAGGUCUCUCUAGGAAGAGCUUCUAUUUCAACAUCGUCGUUAUUCAUUUGCAUCUGAAAUCUGCUUUCUGUCUCAGAGAGGAAUUUUUCAUUUUUCUCUACUUUUGAAAAAACAUUCACCCCCC
Molecule: long non-coding RNA, 1388 nt
Filed under: Camarhynchus parvulus
Lineage: Eukaryota; Metazoa; Chordata; Aves; Passeriformes; Thraupidae
Description: lncRNA (ENSCPVG00000017900.1)
Source: RNAcentral